RNAcentral lists this long non-coding RNA (6969 nucleotides) under Homo sapiens (human). Its description in RNAcentral is "HSALNT0401439". Lineage: Eukaryota; Metazoa; Chordata; Mammalia; Primates; Hominidae. The record is from RNAcentral.
AGCUCCAACUGGGGCGACUUGUGGAGGGUGGUUCCUGGGACAACGCCCAUGCCGUGAUCAGGAACGGGGUCAGCAGGAGUCAGGUGGGGAAGUGCCAGGUGUCCACUGCCACGACCAACACGUUACUCACACUCACGGCACAAGAAUGGCCUCUGUACCCUGUGUGUAGGUAGGUCAGAAGCUUUUUUGUUUGUAUUUUAUGACUUUUAUAGAGUUAUGAUGACAUGUAUUUUUCUCAAAUUUUCAUAGCUGUCUCUCUAAUGAACUACAAAGUAGGGCGUUCAUGGUCCUUCUGGGAGGUGUGUGACUAAUGCGGGAAUUUCAAGCACCAUGACAGGGCGAAGGGAGCAGAAAUUCUGCAGGAAAACCGGGGGGCGGGGAGAACAGUGAUGUGACAUCAUUAGGCUGAGAAAGAGGUAGAUAUGGGUCCUCGUAGCAAACAGGAAUGACACUGGUUAACAUUGAAGGUACUCUCUCUCAAGUGUGUCAGGCUCUGUCCUAAGCUUGACCUGCAUCCUUCCAUUGGAACUUCCAGACGACUCUCCGAGGUGGUGUCCCAUUUCUCUGUACAGGCAUAUCCAGGCACAGUCGCUUGUAUGUCUGAGACCUCAAGCUGGAGAGUGCUGAUGGCCAACAUGCUGGUCACCUCUCCACAGUCCUUCCUCCUCCUGGACAACACCCCUGCUCUCUCUGGAUGGUCCUGAGCUAAGCCCGGAAGGUGAAUCACAGGGGUCUAAGUCAAUCGCGGGAUCCCACCUCUCUGCCUGUGAUUGGUGGACAUUGAGCCACUUCUGACCAAUGACGUGCAAGGGAUGUGCUUGGGGGAUUCUGGGAAAAUCUUUUCUCUGUAAAGAGAGGGGGCUCAUGAGGAGCAUGUUUUCUCCCCUGGCCUCAUCCCCUCCUGCCCUGGGCAUUGUCACCUGACCCCUCCUCCCCACCUCCACUGCCACCACCUUAAUCCAAAGCACAGCAUCCUGUGUUCGUUUGCUUGGAAUAUUCUGGUCUUCUCCUCCCUGGUCUCAUGCAGCCCGAGGAUUCUGCUCAAAUCCAAGUCAGGCCGUGUUGCUCCUCUGCUCGGAGCCCUCCAGGGAUUUCCCAUCUCACACUGAGUCAAAGCCCAAGACCCCAUCACUCCCCACAGGACCCCACUGACCCCCGCCCCUCCCCGCACCCUCCCCUGCGUCUCUCCCUUCCACUCACUGUCCCAGCCACCCUGGUUUCCUCACAGGCCCUUGACCUCCCCGGCAGCUCCGUCUCAGGCCUCUGCACGAGCUGCUCCCUGUGCAGGGAAUGAUCUACCCUAGUAACCCCCAUGGAUCCCUCCGUCCCCCAGGUCUCUGUUCACAAGUCUCCAUCUCCACUAGGCCUUCCCUGUCACAGUGUCUAAAAUGCAACCCUCCCCAUGCCCUGGGCCCCCACCUCUUCCCAGUUUAGUUUCUCUGAUACACUACCUGGUACACCGAGCUAUUUGGUUUGCUGUUCCGCUUGCCCAACCAGAACAGCAGCUCUACGGCGGCUUUGUCUCCCUCAUGGGCCCCCUUUUGGGGCCUGGGGCAGUGCUGGGCACGUGGCUAUCCCCAAAUAAAUAAUGACUGAAUAAGUGAAUGAAUGUACAUGGGGGCUGUGACAAUGUGUGACCAUGAGGGAUGCCUUGGGGGCCACAUGAGGCCAGAGGAGACUGGGCAGUGGCUUGGUGACUCUGUGGAGCCCCUGCCUGGCCAUGGCCCUCCCGCCUCCAGAGUUCUCCUAAGGGGUAAGAAAAGGCCUCCAUUGCUGGCACCUUCACCCACCGCAUCUCCCGUUGUUGCAGCCACAAUUUUCUUACAAGGACAGUGGCUGGAUUUGAGCCCAGGCUGUGUGGCUCCAGACCUAAGCCCAGGGCUUUGUCUGGGGUGUGGCCCAGGGGCAGGUCCUUGGGUGUGUGAGGGUGGCUUGGCUCAGCUCCUCUCCCUAGGUCACUGCAGCGGCCCUGUGCUGUUCUGUUUUCCCAUCCAGAAGUCCUGAGGGUCUCAGCAGAGGGGCCCAGGAUCCAAGUCCAUCCACUCCCAGGGCGGGUCCCUAGCCAGCCUCUGCCCAGCAUGUGGUGUGGAUGCUGCCAUAUCCUUCUGCUUCCUGAAAUGUUUCCCUUCCAGAACUUUCCAGGCCCAGGUUCCCCAUGCGGGGCUGCCUGAGCACCCCCACCCUAUGGCCAGCCCUGCUGCCCUGGCUUCCACCUCCAGAUCCUUCCUGCCAUGUCCCCCUCCAAUCAGAGCCGACCCACACUGUGUCCCUCCCAGUGGCUCUACUGCCUACUGAACACGUGCACCAUCACCGCCGUGGGGCCCACAGGUUCAAGGCUAUAAAGAGGGACUGAGAACACCGUGACGCCCUGGCCUGCGCACCCUCCUCUGCUCCAUCUGGGUCUGUCCGGAUGGCAGAGGCUCAGAGGGUCUGCCCCUACCAGAUGGUGGAGGCUCAGAAUGUCUGAGCCAGAAAAAGCAUGAAAGAAAACUUAGCCUUCCUCCUCCCAGUUAACAGGCUGGGUCCUGAGGGCACAGUGUCCAGCACGGAGGACACACAGUAAAUAUUCCCAGAAGGAGUGAUGGGUGAACGAAUAAAUAGAAUCUCACCCUGCCACCAUGAUUAAAUUCAGCCCCAAACUUACCUGUCCCAUUGUUUCCAUAUCCUGCCACCUCUGAGGCCUAAUCUGAAGAACUGAUUUGUGCCAGUGGACGAGCACUAUUUCUCUAGGUGAGACAUGCAGGUGUCAACAGGAAAUGUCCUGAGAUGUAAUUCUUCAACCCAGGAAGCCACUCCAAUCAAGAGAACAUAAAGCAAUGGUGAUGGGAUGUGGGGGUUCCAUGGGGCUUGGAUGCCCUGAGGAGGGCCUCAAAUCACAGAAUGAUGAAGGUCUUCUGGAUGCAGUGGCAGGGCAGGAGAGGUAUUGCCCUGGGACUCGAGAUGGGACCACAGCCAAUUGCUCACUCAGCCAUGGCCUGUGGGUCUGACACUGGGACCUCACUAACCCUCUUUUAACACUCCUAUCUGUAAGUAGGGAUCAUGACCCACACUUUGCAGGGGUUCUGAUGCUGCAAAAUUCUGGCGCUUUCUACAUGAUAAGGUCUUUGCUCACCAAAUGGAAGAGACUGCGUGCAGGUAGCAUGGGCCUGCCUACUGCAGGUGGGGUGCUUUGGGCUGCAAGUAACAGAAAAUCCAACUCAAAGUGAAUUGUGUGAUAAAGACAAUGCACCACCUCGCUUAUCAUGGUCUGAGUUCCUCCAUGAGGGUUGCCGCCUGGUGCGUCCUCUGUAAGCUCCCUGAAGCAGGGGCCUAGGCUGACCUUUUUUCUCCACUGCCCCCGAGAGCAUAGACCAGGGCCUGGCACAGAGAAGGCGUCCAGUGAGGAUUCCACCCAGGACACCAUCAAACCCUCAUCGCUACAUGGUCUAUUAAGUUGUGUUCCCCCAACAGCAGUUAAAGAAACCAAAGCUUGGCCAGGCACGGUGGCUCACGCCUGUAAUCCCAGCACUUUGGGAGGCCGAGGUGGGUGGGUCACUUGAGGUCAGGAGUUCGAGACCAGCCUGACCAAUAUGGUGAAAUCCCAUCUCUACUAAAAAUAAGAAUACAAAAAUUAGCUGGGCGUGGUGGCAUGUGCCUGUAGUCUCAGCUACUCAGGAGGCUGAGACAGGAGAAUUGCUUGAACCUGGGAGGCGGAGGUUGCAGUGAGCCAAGAUUGCGCCAUUGCACUCCAACCUGGGCAAUGAGAGUGAAACUCCGUCUAAAAAAAAAAAAAAGAAGAAGAAGAAAGAAACUAGAAACUAAAGCUAAGGGAAGAUAAAUUACCUGCAUGACAUAUUGAAGCACACAGAGGACAGUCCUGGCAUUCCCUACUCUGGGCUCUGGCCAUAACCCUGACAACCCUGCUACUCUACUGUCCUCCCUGGCCUCUCUCAGGCCAGUUUGUCCUCAGAUCGGGCAGUGUGGGAGUUGACAAACCAGUCAACCCAGACUCAGAUGACGCAGAAGUCUGCCCAACACAGAAGUCCACCAACCAUUGCAUUGUGAUCAUUGCACCGAGGACAUAAAUUCAGCAACAUGUGCUGGGUCAGCUGCCUCGUUUUUCUCCAAAGUAGCAAAUUUAUGGGGCACACGUGCACAUGGGUGAUUAUUUCCCAAUAGUUUAUAGUAUCAAGCCUCCUUUCUUUCCUCCCAAUAAAUCUAAUUUAUAUGGAUUGGCAGAUCAAACAGUGCAUUUCCUGGCAUCGAGAGGCUGUGAGUCACUCACAGUGCUUUAGGAAACUUGGGGAGAUUAAGGUUUUGCAUAAUGCAAAUGCGGAUGGAAACAUAUUUGGACUGCCUCGCUGUGGAUGCAAUUAGAGCAAUGAGCACCAGGAGAAAUACUUUUUCCCAGGACACAGCAAGGUCUGCUUGGUAUGCAAAGAGCACAGUUAUUUGCGACACCAGAGCCUGGAACGUGGUGAGCAAAGCACCCAGUGACGGUUUGAUUUGCAGCUUUAAGGAAUUCAAAGAUGAAUAAAACAUUAAAUUAAUUGCCAAAGAACUGUUGCCAAGCCUGCAUGAGAUCUAAUGAAGGCACACAUGCAAAAAACCAACACACACAGAACAACAAACCAAAACUGGGCCUGCGGGAUGCUACCUGCCCCAAGCCCCCGAAACCACAUUUGGUUUUGAGUAUUUUGUCCUACUUGGAAUUUUCUCUCAUCAAUACUCAUCUCAAGUCCUCUCAGCCACGAAAGCUCUCUCCGCUUCCCCCAGCCCACAGGACGCUCCUUCGACUGUUUCCUUGUUCACUGGGGAAAUGUUGACUGAGCACCUGCUAUGUGUCAGGCACUGCUUUCCCAGACGCUGGGGAAACAGCACUGAACGAACCAGGCCACAAUCCCUGCCCUGGUGGCUGCCUUCCUGCGGGGAGUAUGAUAAUAAGCAAAAUAGAGAAAUUAAUAUAUUGGAAAGUGCUCAGUGCUACGGAGAAAACAAAGAUGAAGUGGGGAUAGGAAAUGCCGGGAGGUAGGGUCAAUCGCAGAUUGAGGCAAAGGGGUCAGGGAGGUCCCAAGAUGGGGGACAUUUGUACAGAUCCCUGAAGGAGGUGAGGGUGGUGACUACGAGGAAUGUCAGGCAGAGGGAAUAGCAAGGGGAGAGGCCCGGAGUGGAGGUUCCCGAGUGUUUGAGAACCUGUGGAAGCUGGUGUGGCCGAGUAAGUUAGGGGGAGAGUGAUGGUGAUGCACCCAGACAAGGAGCAGGACCAAGGUCACAUAAAGUCAAUGCAUUAAUUCACCUUUCAAUUCAUUCAUUCACUUACUCAACGAAUCUUUUGAGGCUCUACUGUGAGCCAGGACCUGCUAUUUUAGAUCCUGAAAAUCCAACAUUAGACGUGACAGGCAAGGUCCCAGCUCUCACGGGGCUGUGUAAUGGUGGCUGAUCCGGGAGCAGGAGGGAAGUUACUUUGUUGAGGUGAGUGGGGAAGCCCAAUCGCCACUCGCCUCUAGGUCCACAAUCCCAGCAGAAUUCCCUCUUUUGUUUGCUCUUAGGUGAUUCUUGUCUUCCCCAUAAGCCCAUUUAGCAGAUGAGAAAACUAAGGUUCCUUUGGAAUGGAAGUCCUGGCUUCUCUCCAUAAAGUCUGGAAAUUAGAGGGAGUAGAAUUAACUCCCUUUUCCUUUGCACAGGGCCAGCAUGAGGCUUUGGGGAGGUUCUGAGGCAGGAGACAUCCUACGUCAUCUCCACAGGUCAUGAACCCUAUAGCAUCUCCCACCAAGAGGGUCACGGACCCUACAGCAUCUCCCACCAGGAGGGCCAUGACCAGCCUCUGGGGCUGUGCUGCUGCAUGCCAAGGAGUAGCUGAAUCCUAGGAGUGGAGAAUCCCCAGCCUGGAAGGGGACCCCCUCCACCGACUGCCAUCACUCUGGGGCUCUCUGGCUUGAGGGCUCUCUGGGGCCACGAGGCCAGGCCUCCUCUCCACGUCCAAACAGGCUGGCUGGGUGCAAAAUGCCAUGGUGCUUGCUCUGGAUGGGCUGGAGUUUUCCCUAUUCAGGGGCCAGGGCAAUGGGUGGAGGGCCUGGGUAGAGAGGCAGAGCACGGUUGCGUCCAGGCUGUGCCACCCUGACCCUGAACUCAGGCCCACAGGAGGCUCCAGGCAACAGCUGCUCUCUCCUCUGCUGGGGCCUCCUGCCUGGAAAGCCUGCUCCCACCCACAAUGCCUAGAUUCCUCCCUCCAAGCAGCCUUAGAGACCCCUUUGGGAUCCAGAUCUGCUCUGCUCCUCACCCUGGGGAUCUGGGUGUCACUUUAAAUAAAGGGACCGCUCGUGCUCACCAGGCUGCGGGAUAUUCAGAGGCUGGGCUGGCAGUUCCCAUCCCGUGGUCGCAGAGUGCUAUGGAGGGGAGAUAAUAGGUGUGAUUUCUGUGCAGAGGAUGGACAGGGCUCCAGGGACAGAGGAUGCAGGAGUGACAGGCAUCAUCAGAUACCAUUUGUCCAGCAGCCGCUCCAGCCACCUGGUGUGGAUGUGGCCUCGUGUCCAUACUCUCCAGAGCACCCGGCUUAGUGGCUAUCUGCCUGGCUGUCUCUCCCAUUUUCAUGUGAAAGGGGGCCAGGCAGGACAUGGGGUCUGGGGACUGCCAUCUCCUCCUGGGGGCUGCACUGUGCUGACAGUCUUGUGUCCCCCUGACAGGGGCUGCACAGACGGGCCAGGCAGAAGUGAAGGAGAAGAAGGAAGCCAACAGAAGGUGGCUUUCAGGGCUGGUCACGCAGAGGGUGGAUUCUGACGGGCAGGGCUGCUGUGGGUGGUGGGCACCAUCUAUGCUCAUCCCUGCCCAGGCAGCUCUGGGCUCCCCCAGCUCAGGUGGGCCCCCUCCUCACCCAGGGCGCAGCUGUGGCUGGCAGCAGGCAUUCACCCCCUUCUCAGCUGCUCAGCCAUGGAACCAGGAGCUAACUCAAUUCCUCUGUCCCCAAAGUCUGUGCCCACCAGGCCAUCCGCC